Molecule: ribosomal RNA, 515 nt
Filed under: uncultured bacterium
Lineage: Bacteria
Description: partial 16S ribosomal RNA
Rfam family: Bacterial small subunit ribosomal RNA
Source: RNAcentral
GAUGAACGCUGGCGGCGUGCCUAAUACAUGCAAGUCGAGCGAAUGGAUUAAGAGCUUGCUCUUAUGAAGUUAGCGGCGGACGGGUGAGUAACACGUGGGUAACCUGCCCAUAAGACUGGGAUGACUCCGGGAAACCGGGGCUAAUACCGGAUAACAUUUUGAACCGCAUGGUUCGAAAUUGAAAGGCGGCUUCGGCUGUCACUUAUGGAUGGACCCGCGUCGCAUUAGCUAGUUGGUGAGGUAACGGCUCACCAAGGCAACGAUGCGUAGCCGACCUGAGAGGGUGAGCGGCCACACUGGGACUGAGAAACGGCCCAGACUCCUACGGGAGGCAGCAGUAGGGAAUCUUCCGCAAUGGACGAAAGUCUGACGGAGCAACGCCGCGUGAGUGAUGAAGGCUUUCGGGUCGUAAAACUCUGUUGUUAGGGAAGAACAAGUGCUAGUUGAAUAAGCUGGCACCUUGACGGUACCUAACCAGAAAGCCACGGCUAACUACGUGCCAGCAGCCGCAGUAA